This 333-nucleotide long non-coding RNA is filed under the name Malus domestica (apple). RNAcentral's name for it is "long non-coding RNA (MDOM_LNC019475)". Lineage: Eukaryota; Viridiplantae; Streptophyta; Magnoliopsida; Rosales; Rosaceae. The record is from RNAcentral.
CUGGGAACGUUCUCCGCCUGCAAUAGCCUCGAUGUUGCAGGCUAGGGUUUUUGGGGUGGUUGUUGUGGAGCCAAACCAGCGCCGUGUGGAAGAAUUCCCUUUCCCUUGUUCCAUAGCGGUUUGCUAGGUUGCAAAUGAGCUUGAGGGUAGUAAGGGAAUCGUGGGACCAGGCCAGCGGGAGCAAUGACUUCAGACAUUUGUAAGGAUCACAGGAGCCAAAGGGAUCCGUCAAGGAAUCGGAAUACAUAUCUUCAUGGUCGUCAAAAGGUUCAUUAAAGGACUCCAAAUACAGAUCAACGCAGGGGUUGUCACCAAAGGAUGAGGAUGAGGUGG